UACGUAGGGGGCAAGCGUUGUCCGGAUUUAUUGGGCGUAAAGAGCGUGUAGGCGGCCAGAUAGGUCGGUUGUGAAAACUGGAGGCUUAACCUCCAGACGUCGACCGAAACCCUCUGGCUAGAGUCCGGAAGAGGAGAGUGGAAUUCCUGGUGUAGCGGUGAAAUGCGCAGAUAUCAGGAAGAACACCCGUGGCGAAAGCGGCUCUCUGGGACGGUACUGACGCUGAGACGCGAAAGCGUGGGGAGCGAACAGG
Molecule: ribosomal RNA, 253 nt
Filed under: uncultured bacterium
Lineage: Bacteria
Also listed under: 1 other name
Description: partial 16S ribosomal RNA
Rfam family: Bacterial small subunit ribosomal RNA
Source: RNAcentral